UGGGGAAUAUUGCGCAAUGGGGGCAACCCUGACGCAGCCAUGCCGCGUGAAUGAAGAAGGCCUUCGGGUUGUAAAGUUCUUUCGGUAGCGAGGAAGGCAUUUAGUUUAAUAGACUAGAUGAUUGACGUUAACUACAGAAGAAGCACCGGCUAACUCCGUGCCAGCAGCCGCGGUAAUACGGAGGGUGCGAGCGUUAAUCGGAAUAACUGGGCGUAAAGGGCACGCAGGCGGUGACUUAAGUGAGGUGUGAAGGCCCCGGGCUUAACCUGGGAAUUGCAUUUCAUACUGGGUCGCUAGAGUACUUUAGGGAGGGGUAGAAUUCCACGUGUAGCGGUGAAAUGCGUAGAGAUGUGGAGGAAUACCGAAGGCGAAGGCAGCCCCUUGGGAAUGUACUGACGCUCAUGUGCGAAAGCGUGGGGAGCAAACAGGAUUAGAUACCCUGGUAGUCCACGCUGUAAACGAUGUCGAUUUGGGGGUUGAACUUUAAGUUUGGCGCCCGUAGCUAACGUGAUAAAUCGACCGCCUGGGGAGUACGGCCGCAAGGUUA
This 547-nucleotide ribosomal RNA is filed under the name uncultured bacterium. RNAcentral describes it as "bacterial SSU rRNA". It matches the Rfam family "Bacterial small subunit ribosomal RNA", at positions 355 to 896 of the family's 1533-position model. The record is from RNAcentral.